This 254-nucleotide ribosomal RNA is filed under the name uncultured bacterium. RNAcentral describes it as "partial 16S ribosomal RNA". It matches the Rfam family "Bacterial small subunit ribosomal RNA", at positions 524 to 776 of the family's 1533-position model. The record is from RNAcentral.
UACGGGGGGAGCAAGCGUUGUUUGGAUUUACUGGGCGUAAAGGGCGCGUAGGCGGUCGUGACAAGUCACUUGUGAAAUCUCCGGGCUUAACUCGGAACGGUCAAGUGAUACUGUCGGACUAGAGUACAGAAGGGGCAACUGGAAUUCUCGGUGUAGCGGUGAAAUGCGUAGAUAUCGAGAGGAACACCUGCGGCGAAGGCGGGUUGCUGGGCUGAUACUGACGCUGAGGCGCGAAAGCCAGGGGAGCGAACGGG